CUGGCGGCGUGCCUAAUACAUGCAAGUCGAGCGGAAUGAUGAAGAAGCUUGCUUCUUCUGAUUUUAGCGGCGGACGGGUGAGUAACACGUGGGCAACCUACCUUGUAGAUUGGGAUAACUCCGGGAAACCGGGGCUAAUACCGAAUAAUCCAUUUUGCUUCAUGGCGAGAUGUUGAAAGACGGUUUCGGCUGUCACUACAAGAUGGGCCCGCGGCGCAUUAGCUAGUUGGUAGGGUAAUGGCCUACCAAGGCGACGAUGCGUAGCCGACCUGAGAGGGUGAUCGGCCACACUGGGACUGAGACACGGCCCAGACUCCUACGGGAGGCAGCAGUAGGGAAUCUUCCACAAUGGACGAAAGUCUGAUGGAGCAACGCCGCGUGAGUGAAGAAGGUUUUCGGAUCGUAAAAACUCUGUUGUAAGGGAAGAACACGUACGAGAGUAACUGCUCGUACCUUGACGGUACCUUAUUAGAAAGCCACGGCUAACUACGUG
Molecule: ribosomal RNA, 493 nt
Filed under: uncultured bacterium
Lineage: Bacteria
Description: bacterial SSU rRNA
Rfam family: Bacterial small subunit ribosomal RNA
Source: RNAcentral